Molecule: ribosomal RNA, 465 nt
Filed under: uncultured bacterium
Lineage: Bacteria
Description: partial 16S ribosomal RNA
Rfam family: Bacterial small subunit ribosomal RNA
Source: RNAcentral
GACGAACGCUGGCGGCGUGCUUAACACAUGCAAGUCGAACGGAAAGGCCCUGCUUGCAGGGUACUCGAGUGGCGAACGGGUGAGUAACACGUGGGUGAUCUGCCCUGCACUUCGGGAUAAGCCUGGGAAACUGGGUCUAAUACCGGAUAGGAGCCAUUUUUAGUGUGAUGGUUGGAAAGUUUUUUCGGUGUAGGAUGAGCUCGCGGCCUAUCAGCUUGUUGGUGGGGUAAUGGCCUACCAAGGCGGCGACGGGUAGCCGGCCUGAGAGGGUGGACGGCCACAUUGGGACUGAGAUACGGCCCAGACUCCUACGGGGGGCAGCAGUGGGGAAUAUUGCACAAUGGGCGCAAGCCUGAUGCAGCGACGCCGCGUGGGGGAUGACGGCCUUCGGGUUGUAAACUCCUUUCGCUAGGGACGAAGCUUUUUGUGACGGUACCUAGAGAAGAAGCACCGGCUAACUACGUG